CAUGUGUAGCGGUGGAAUGCGUAGAUAUAUGGAAGAACACCAGUGGCGAAGGCGGCUGUCUGGUCUGCAACUGACGCUGAGGCUCGAAAGCAUGGGUAGCGAACAGGAUUAGAUACCCUGGUAGUCCAUGCCGUAAACGAUGAGUGCUAGGUGUUGGAGGGUUUCCGCCCUUCAGUGCCGGAGCUAACGCAUUAAGCACUCCGCCUGGGGAGUACGACCGCAAGGUUGAAACUCAAAGGAAUUGACGGGGGCCCGCACAAGCGGUGGAGCAUGUGGUUUAAUUCGAAGCUACGCGAAGAACCUUACCAGGUCUUGACAUCUUGCGCUAACCUUAGAGAUAAGGCGUUCCCUUCGGGGACGCAAUGACAGGUGGUGCAUGGUCGUCGUCAGCUCGUGUCGUGAGAUGUUGGGUUAAGUCCCGCAACGAGCGCAACCCUUGUUACUAGUUGCCAGCAUUAAGUUGGGCACUCUAGUGAGACUGCCGGUGACAAACCGGAGGAAGGUGGGGACGACGUCAGAUCAUCAUGCCCCUUAUGACCUGGGCUACACACGUGCUACAAUGGACGGUACAACGAGUCGCAAGCUCGCGAGAGUAAGCUAAUCUCUUAAAGCCGUUCUCAGUUCGGACUGUAGGCUGCAACUCGCCUACACGAAGUCGGAAUCGCUAGUAAUCGCGGAUCAGCAUGCCGCGGUGAAUACGUUCCCGGGCCUUGUACACACCGCCCGUCACACCAUGGGAGUUUGUAACGCCCAAAGUCGGUGGCUUAACCUUUAUGGAGGGAGCCGC
RNAcentral lists this ribosomal RNA (787 nucleotides) under Limosilactobacillus reuteri. RNAcentral's name for it is "bacterial SSU rRNA". It matches the Rfam family "Bacterial small subunit ribosomal RNA", at positions 670 to 1456 of the family's 1533-position model. The record is from RNAcentral. Lineage: Bacteria; Bacillati; Bacillota; Bacilli; Lactobacillales; Lactobacillaceae.